GUCACCCAUGUUUAAAUAACAUGUAGAUGAGGCCCUUAGUGAUGUAGUUUAGUGGUGGUCUUGGCAGUCUUGGGGUGGUGGUUGGACCUUAUGGUCUUAAAGGUCUCCUCCAGCCUAGUUCAUUC
Strigops habroptila (Kakapo) is the source of this 125-nucleotide long non-coding RNA. RefSeq lists it as uncharacterized. The record is from RefSeq and is a predicted model, not a curated record. Lineage: Eukaryota; Metazoa; Chordata; Aves; Psittaciformes; Psittacidae. The transcript is spliced from 3 exons.